This 8018-nucleotide long non-coding RNA is filed under the name Xyrichtys novacula (pearly razorfish). The record is from RNAcentral. Lineage: Eukaryota; Metazoa; Chordata; Actinopteri; Labriformes; Labridae.
AACCGAGACCUAAUGGUGCUGUGACAGCAACGUGAUUGAGUUUGAGACAGUGAAAAUACAUAUGGUAUGUUGUAUCUGAACAGGUUAGCUUACGAACUAAAGUUACUUAGCACAGAUGAAAGUUAAAACAAAGACGUUUAGCAAACUGUUAAAGCACACAAACCAUCGUCAUAUGAGAGAUCCGACGCUAUGACUCUCCACAAGUUGUCCUUCAGGUCAUUAUCUUUGUAAUGUUUGUGUCUUUUUAAAAAAGCACUCUGUUCUCCGACACAUAAACAAUUAGCCGGUCGGCCAUGUUGGAUAUACCAGUGAAUCAGACGUCGCAACAGCACGCAAUCUGAUUGGUCAGAAGUGGACACACAGUAUGCAAAACUUUAGAGAAAAAUCGAUCAUGAUCCGAAAAAAUAAAUGCUGCGAUAUCGCAGGACGGGAAAAUGUUGCUAAUGUGAACACUUGUAUUGACAGGAUACGGGUCCUUUUUGCUCUUUGGUACCAAGGGGAUGUUUAAAACCUUUGUCAAAGGUUUAUAGUCUGUUAGCCGGCAGGGCAUGGAAAAACUUUGGAUACUAUGCUCAUCACUCUUGAGGUAAUAGUAGCUGUGGAUGAAUCCAAACCCGAGGCUGGAAAUGCCUCCAGGGUCACACCAUUUUGCUACUUCAGGUGAAUUAUAAAGUGAGUUGUACUGCCUGUGUAAUUAAAAACAGCAUGGCACAUUUUGCAAAUUGCAUCUGGCUUGUCAAGGUUGCGUGUCUCCCUUGUAAAACCUGUAGUGUCCUCAAACUUAAUUUGAUGUGGUGGGUACACUCACUCAGCAUACAUCUGCAAUGCACAUAUAAAUAAAAGUGUGCAUCUGUGGCACACACUGACAUAAUGUGGGUUUGACAUAAGAGGAUAGAUAAGAAAAUAAUACUAAAAACAUCCUAUGCGAAGAACAUUUCCAAAUAAUGGCAAAGAGCAUCUCAUUUUUAAUGAAUCUGACAUUUAAUAACCCAAGCAUUCAUGCACAGCUACCGUAACCAUGCACCUGCGUCAUACCAGCAUGUGUCUGAGUAUUGAUAUGAAUCAUUUAAUCUUCCCAUCCCAAGCAUCAAGGCUGACCAAUAUGCCAACUUGGCUCAUUCGCUGAUACUACAAUCAUAUUUUAUCCAAUCUAUAGUAAACACACAAACACACAAGCUUUACAUACUCACAUGCUUACACACAGACCUGCACCACUGUGUAUGCUCAAUUGGUUCACUAUGAUCCCCUGUCACCCCGUACUUUCAACGCUGGCUCAGAGGCGGGUUGACUUGGCAAUAAAAGCAGAGUUGUGUGUUUAUGCAACUUCAGUGGAGUUAAAAAUGAUGACAUUGUCCAACUGAUGAUCAAGAUGCAAACGGCAACGCUAGCCUUGAGAAUUGAGUUCUGCUGACUGCAAACAGACCUGACAUCCAAAGAAUGAGACAAAGAAAGGGUAAUUUGUCCUCCUGAAAUCUCAUUCGUCUUCUUUUACAAAGACACGGGUUGGCACUCCAUUGGUACCUUUAAUGGAAGACCUGUUUUGGUUUGGUAUAGUCUUAAACCCUCUGCUGUAAAACAUACUCCCAUAGAUUUAUGAGAGUUUAUAAACAACUCCAUUUCUCAUCCAUCAUGAAUAAAAAAAUACAAUUUCAGCAUCUUACGAACAUUAUGCACCACAAUUUGUGUUGCUUUAACUUUGUUGAAGUUUUUGUCAAAGCAGAUUAUGGAGAGGAAAAUAGUUAAAAAAAAAUGAGGCCUGGACUAACUUGAAAUCUGUGGCAUGGUAGUUGUUAGUGUACCCACAGCUGCAAACCUCUGUGAUGGAUGACGGUGGCGUGGCAUUUUGCUAAAAAAACAAAUUGCUGCAGAGAGCUGCACAGUGUGCAUAAACCCUGCAGAUGAGGGAUAGCUUUGAUUAUAGUAAACAUGUGGCUGCAUACACACACACACACACACACACACACACACACACCUACUCGUACACACAGAUAUUCCUUUGAGAAUCACUCCAGUUGGGAUGCUGGAGGCCUUACCGACAGGCAUGUGAACUCAUGUAAGGGAGGCUGAAUCUAUAGCCUGAAGCACUUUUCAUUAUUCCAGCACACUGAUCAUUCUGAUGCUACCCGCACCUCCUCAGCUAAUACAGCAGGAAAUUUAUAUUUACCAGCCUGAGGAGACACAUCUGCAGUAUAUAAAAUACAUAUAGCAGAUUUUUGAGGAACAGGUUUGCCGCAAUUUAACCAAAGUUACAAAAGAUUUCAGAAAAUUUAAAAAAGACAAAAUAAACAAUCAAAAAGAAUGAUAGCCAAGAUACAGUAGCCAUCUUUCAACCAAGUAAUUACUUUCGCUAAUUUUCUAAUUGCUUUCAAAGUUUUGAUUAUUUAAUUCAUAACUGACUGCGUUAAUAGCCCUUUUUUCUCGUCUUUUUCCAUCCAAGUCGAGCUGAGACAUUUUUUAAUUGCAAGGUUUUUUGCAAACUCCAGUGCAGCCCGGCCCCUUAGGAGCUGUACUUUCCUCUCCCCAAAUAUCAAUCACUUGAAUGAGAUUGUCCCAUUAAAAGAGCUUUAAUGCUCCUAAUCACUGAGGCGGGAGGAAAACAGUGAAUCAAUUAAACAGAUUUGUGUAAGAGGAGACACUGAUAUGACUUCACAUGUCAUAUGUGGGGACUUUAAAUGUGGCUGACAGGCUUUUUUAUCCUUAAGGUGUGCAGGUUGGUUGGAUAUCCCACUUUAAGUGCUAAUUACUUAACAAUUUAAAGCUGGAGGCUGCACAGAAAGUAUGUUGAUGGUGCUGUCAUGUUAUCAUCUAUUUUUAGCAAGCCUUUAAGUGCAAAUAUUAUUAUUUCUACGGUCCUUGUGCGCACAGUCUUUUUGUAGUGCCCUCUACUCCCCUUUUUACCCACUAUUGGAAGAUGGAUGUUGAACAUGACUGGUUCUGCUGAAGGUUUCUGCCUGAUGAAAGAAAAUUUUCCGAGUCAAUGUCACCAAAUGUUGCCUAUUGCAUGCCUAAAGUUGCCUAAUUGGCCCCCGUCAAUGAUAUACAGUAUCUUGCUGUACAGUCAGGACCUGCACCUUUAAUGUAAUUUGGCACUGUAUAUAUACAGUUUGAUUGAUUGAGAAAUCAGAUAGAAAAUGGAGAAAGCCCUAUUGCUCUCUUUAUGUGCCAGAAUUCAUCACUUUUAGCCCUUUACUGACUCUUAAAGAUUCACUCUGAUGAAAAUCAUGUUUUUCUUGUUUUUACGUGUUCAUAUGGCAUUUUUCUGAUGCUACAGGACAUGCCAUGAGAAAACUAAAUGUGAAACUGCAUUUUGGAGUAUAUCUGUAUUCAAAUCACUGUGAAUCUCUGGCAGACCCAAGCAGCAGGGUCAGAUACAGUGAGAUAUCCUACGAAGCAAAUCCAAGCUCCACCCUUGGAGCCCCACAAUGCAAAUGCUGUCUCUGCCCACAACUCAGAGGCGAAUUGCUAAUGAGCUACUGGUGCUCUGCAGAAGAAAAGCCCUUAAAAAUGUCACGGAUAACUUGAUUUAAAACUUCAUAAUUACAAUUUAAAGACCACUGAGAACACUUAAAGUAGUAAAAAAUGGGGCUUUAAAGUCUUUGACUUGCCUGAUUCCUUUGAGCUACCAGUGUCUGUGGUUAUACCUAUGUUCAGAUCCACUCAAACCAGUUAAGAUAAAGAACAUAAAGAUCAUCAAUAGGGCCAGUAACAGCAAGAAAAAAAAAAUACUUCAGGGUGCUUUGUAACAUGCACCUAUAACUGGGACAAUCACUGUCACUGCAUCCUCUCUUUUCUUUUCUGUCUACUUUGGGAAACUGCUCUACCCAUUGAGCACUAACUGAGAUCAAAAAUAGAGUUAAAGCUGACAUAAGUGUACUUACACAGUGUACACAGUUAUGACAUAAGCAUGUCGAAAAAAAGUCUUUCCUAAAUUUGACAAAUGGUUUAUGUAAGUGGUAAAAGAUGGACAGAAAUGAUUAUGGUGAUGGCAUUUCUCCAAAGUAAUUUUCCAUUACUGGCUGAGAUGUAGUCUGUGCAAAGUUGGAAAUGCCAAUGCAAUUACUUUUUUUGAAAUACAAAAUUACACUGCAUUGGCUGCAUCAGGGACAUUGUAAAAACAGCCAUUUUACACAUCCAGCUAUGAAGAAGAAAAAAAGAAUGUAUGCUCAGGGACCUUAGCUGUGCAGUUUAAACUACGAUGGCAGAAAAACUCCUUGAUUCAGGUGUAGUUGGCUGAUAUUUAAUGCAAAAAGGGACUGAAGGAAACCUUCAAGAGCAGCUGACGGUGAUGACACUGGACUAAGGCAUUGACUUCUUGAAACUGAACACAACCUGCGUUUUCCUUUUGUUGGUCACAGCAAUGCACUGUUCACGUAUGAAACGUUAUUUAUGAAAUUCAAAAACUGCUGUUCAUUGAUGUGUGUUUAUUUUUUUGACCACUUAGUAGCUGUUGAAAGAAAAAAUCUUUUUGAAUCAGUUUGGAGCAACAUUGCACAGACGCCCAUAUUUCUGUUUUCAAAAAUCUUAUCAAAGGGAAACUAUUCUAGAUGUGGACGUGCUGACUUGAUUAAAUGGCUAAUUUAGGCUUAUCACUCAGCAGCUGCUUGCAACAAAAAAAAAAAAAAGAGAAAAAAAAAAGGCAAUUUUUUUAUAUAACAUUUCAGUCCGUUGAAAGCUUUUCUGUUCAAAAUACCACACUUUGAAUAAAAACCCUUCCGUUGUUGCUAGUUUAAUUUAUGCAUUUUAAAUCAGAUACAACUUCCAUCUGACAUUUAGAAAAAAAUAGUGUUUCAGGAACCAAAAAUAUAAUUUAUGCAUAUAUAAACUUUCAAUACCAGUAGUACUCCAGAAAUGGGUGUAGAAGAAUUCAGCAUGCCUCGAGUAUAAAUCAUACUUGGUUUGUAAAGUGUAAUGACGAGAAUAAGUUUUCAGUCUGUGCUUUCUCAACUGAAAAAAAAAAAGUUAUAUUUAAUAUGUUCAAUCAUAAGUAAUAUCUCCAAAGAUAUAUGUGGGCUACAUAUGACAUCUGAUAUUGUGUCACAGAAAUGUUGCAGUGACUGGUUUCUCUUGGUGUAACAGAAAUCCACACAAGAUUUUGUAUGUAUCCUCCAUCUCUACCUCCACUCCUGUCAGUGUUUCUGUCACCUGCCAACACUGUACAAAAAUAUUUUGGAAAGGCACACCUCAGUGCAGGAUGAGAUCCCUGCUGCUUAAACAUGGCAUGGCUGUCAGUCUAGACCAACAACUUUACCUGGCUGCGGUCUAGUUUUCUGCUCGGCCAUGGGUGGAAGGGGGAAGGACAGGCAAACAGGAGGAGAGGAGGCAGCUGCUGCAUAUUUCAUAAAGGUGUUGUGGACAUUGCAGCUAGCCUGCUGAGAGAGUGGGGGGCAGCGCUCAUGCUUGUUAUCUAUUCUGGUUUUCUAUUCUUACAUGCAUGAAUCGUAUCAGUUAAUCAAAUACCUCACAGUCUAAGUCAUGCUGACUUUCAUUACAGAGGCAUUGCCUCAGAUUUUCUGUGGUGUUUAAUGCAAACAUGUGAGGAAUAUUUAUGGAGAAAAGAUGGUCAUGAAAAGUAGAUUGUUACUGUGCUGCCAACUAUAGGCAUGAGGAACGUCGCCUCCACUACAGCAGGUGGAAACAUGCCCCCUUUUCAGCUUGUUACUAUUGGGUCUUUCCUGGUUGAUGCACCAAAACAGUUGGUAAAACAUGUCAGCAAGAGGCUAAUGGGAUGAAAUGAUGGAAACGCUAGGAAAAUGUUGUGUUUUUUCACGUCCUGUCUUUGUCAUCGAGGUUUUGUCAACCACCGGACUUCUUUGUAACCUCUCUGCUGUAAGAAAACUGGUGCAUGCACUGUAUGCUUAGACUGGUUUAAGCCAUUGAUUGAACAUUCCACAUAAAAGAGAAAAUUGAUCCCCAUCAUCCACAUUACCCAGGUACACCGAUCCAACUAUGAGAACCUUGCCUUAUAUUCAGACAAGGCAAGCGCUAAAAUACAUUUCAUAGAUGUAGCCAUCAUGUUUCCGCCUCCAAUUUUGCUUUUUUCCAGCUUGGUAACUGAAACGUUAACUCGGGUGCAACGUCACUUUCAGCUGGGACUUCUGACUUCCGAGGUAACUCAAACGCAGCAUAACAUGUUUACCAAAAGUCCAGAUUUAGUCAGACUAAAGGUCCUUACACACCGAGACAGACGCAAAUAUAUGAUGCAAAAUUACCAAAUAUUUUGGGGCGAUUUUUGAUGUGUCUGACUGUACACAUCAAGCCCAAUGCGAUUUUGCAACUUUCUGGGGGAGAAAGCACAUUAAACUAUAUAUGUAAACGUAAGGUAACAACUGAGACCUAAUGGUGCUGUGACAGCAACACGAUUGAGUUUGAGACAGUGAAAAUACAUAUGGUAUGUUGUAUCUGAACAGGUUAGCUUAUGUGCUAAAGUUACUUAGCACAGAUGAAAGUUAAAACAAAGACGUUUAGCAAACUGUUAAAGCAGACAAACCAUUGUCAUAUGAGAAAUCCAACACUAUGGGCUCUAUUUUUGUGCGCGCCGAUGAGGCGGCGGAGGGCGGCGAGCCCCGCGCAGUUGUAUUUUCGUCUGGCGGAGCCCAGCGUAAGGCCAGUUUGGUAUUUUCGUGGACUGAGCCGCACGGAGGCGAGCCGAGAUCCGCCAAGCUGGGCGUGGUGGCGUGGCAGGGGGAGGUGUCGACAGAAUCAGCUGGCGCAGUGACAUUUUCGUGCUUGCCACCAGCGUGUAAAGUGCGCUGAAAGCUCGCCGAUUCAAACCUGGUCAGCUUUCAGCGCAAGGCGGAACGCAGCUGGUCUAGUGGUAUUUUGGUAGACCGGCGGCGUAUCGACAUACGUCACUGAUGCCUCACCAGCAGGUUUCCACAGUGUCAGGCACAUUACAGUGCAAUAAAUAAUCAACAACAACUAAUAAUCUGAGUUAGCACAUACAUUUAGAUCUAUAUAGAUAUAUUCUGAUCUAUAUCUGAUCUGAUGAGCGCGUUUGGCACGCGUUUGGACACACAACCUGAGCGAUCAACACAGCUGAAACCACAUCAAAUUAAAUUAAAUAUCUAGUAAAUAUACACACAUGAUGAAGUUAACAAGAUAUGUAAUUCAUCUCCCUCCUUUUCUUUCUUCCUCUUCCUCUUAUUUCUCGCACAGCUCGACCUGGACAUGUCUCCGUGUCCUCUGUCCGUCUUGCUGCUGCUGCGGCUGAACAGAUGAUUUGUUUCACUGCUCAGAUGCGUUAUCUACUUUAAGCCAACAUACGGAUAUUAUAAUAUUCAGUUUUGUGGGCCAAAUUUAUUUUAUAUGCCAACAUCUAUGAAAGAAAGAGCCAGGCCACGGAGCGCGAUGCGUCAUUUACGCACAGAUGGUUCCGAUUUUAAUGCCAUUUUUGGAGUUUAUGUUGUGAUCUGUGCGCUCAACCGACCUUUGUCACGUGAGGUUUGAAUAUAUGCAACUUUAUGUGAGUGUCUUUAUUUGUGGAAAAGGGUGUUUGUCUUACCACUGGGUCCAACAUUACACACACCAAAUCCAUCUGUGCUUAUAUGAGAGGGUGUGGAGGACACUUGUUGAGGAGCUGCCCUCUGUCGCCAUCUUAUGGCAUUACUGUCUUAAGACAUCUCUUGAUCUCUUUGACUACUUCAUGAAAAUAGUAAUACGCCUCGCCUGUGGCGGAUUUAAAGGCAAGGAGAGGAGCUUAUGUGAUUGGUGAAAACAGGUCUCGGCUUUGUUAAACCCUCUACACGCCCUUUCUUCUCCCCGUCUACGACUUAUGCUGCUGGGAGGAGCUGAGUUAGGGAGGGGGGAUACUUACGCCGGGCUGCGCAGCUCACCAAAAUACCAAAAUGUGCUUGGGAACGCCUUGUCAGCGCGGCGGAUCUGACUGACGCUGCGCUUGCGGCACAUCUCUGGCGAGGCACCAAAAUAGAGCCCUCUCCACAAAUUGUCCUUCAGGUCGUUAUCUUUGUAAUGUUUGUGUUUUUUAUCAAAAAGCACUCUGUUCUCUGACAUGUAAACAA